GCUCUUUUAGUAUAUUUUUUGUAUUUUUUAUUGCAGAUAAAGAGGUUUUAAGGGUU
Molecule: transfer RNA, 56 nt
Filed under: Dracunculus medinensis (Guinea worm)
Lineage: Eukaryota; Metazoa; Nematoda; Chromadorea; Rhabditida; Dracunculidae
Description: tRNA-Cys
Source: RNAcentral